UGGUUUGAGUGUCUUUGAACGGGGUAUGGAAGUAGGUGCCGGGCGCACUGGUUUGAGUGUCUUUGAACGGGGUAUGGUAGUAGGUGCCAGGCGCACCGGUUUGAGUGUCUUUGAACGGGGUAUGGAAGUAGGUGCCAAGCGCACUGGUUUG
This is a long non-coding RNA of Oncorhynchus keta (chum salmon), 151 nucleotides long. RefSeq lists it as uncharacterized. NCBI's taxonomy places the organism in Eukaryota, Metazoa, Chordata, Actinopteri, Salmoniformes, Salmonidae. The record is from RefSeq and is a predicted model, not a curated record. The transcript has 3 exons.